AUUGAACGCUGGCGGAAUGCUUUACACAUGCAAGUCGAACGGCAGCACGGACUUCGGUCUGGUGGCGAGUGGCGAACGGGUGAGUAAUGUAUCGGAACGUGCCCAGUCGUGGGGGAUAACGUAGUGAAAAUUACGCUAAUACCGCAUACGAUCUAUGGAUGAAAGCGGGGGAUCGCAAGACCUCGCGCGAUUGGAGCGGCCGAUAUCAGAUUAGGUAGUUGGUGGGGUAAAGGCCCACCAAGCCAACGAUCUGUAGCUGGUCUGAGAGGACGACCAGCCACACUGGAACUGCGACACGGUCCAGACUCCUACGGGAGGCAGCAGUGGGGAAUUUUGGACAAUGGGCGAAAGCCUGAUCCAACCAUUCCGCGUGCAGGAUGAAGGCCCUCGGGUUGUAAACUGCUUUUGUACAGAACGAAAAGGUUUCUACUAAUACUAGGAGCUCAUGACGGUACUGUAAGAAUAAGCACCGGCUAACUACGUGCCAGCAGCCGCCGUAA
Molecule: ribosomal RNA, 500 nt
Filed under: uncultured bacterium
Lineage: Bacteria
Description: partial 16S ribosomal RNA
Rfam family: Bacterial small subunit ribosomal RNA
Source: RNAcentral